GCUCCCCGCGCCCGCCCAAGCCGCCCAACCUGGACGCAGCGCUGGCGCUGCUCCGCAAGGAGAUGGUUGGCCUUCGGCAACUAGAUAUGUCAUUACUAUGUCAACUGUUCUCUCUCUAUGAAUCAAUUCAAGAAUACAAAGGUGCAUGCCAAGCUGUCUCAAAUGCAGACUGUACAUAUGCUCUGGAAAAUGGCUUUUUUGAUGAAGAGGAGGAGUAUUUUUAGAAACAGCACCACUGUCAUUGGCGGGGACAAAAGCCCACGGAUUGUUUUUUCACUCCCUGUAACACUUCCAAGAAGAUCUGGAAACUGUGGAUUUCUCUUCUUGAGGGGAACAUUUGGCUACCUGAAGUGCGUUGAACUCAUGUUUCUGGCAGGCUGUCAGUGCAAGUUACUCAUCUAAAUGCCACUUUAGGAAGGUGAUGUCCUGUAACUUUCAGGAUUCCUCAGAGAUUCAUGUUUGACAAGAAAUGUCAGUUUAAAUUUCAGGCUGGAUUUUUCCAAUUUACAGAUGUUGGCAACUGACUUUAUAACUGUAAUGUUGAUCAUACAAGAAGUCAAUGACAUCCUGAGUGUAAUAGCUUUUCAGGGGGUAAAAGACUUCACUAUGGUGUAACUAACCAGGGGUGAUAUGUAUUUGUCAACAGUACUGAUAAAUCCUCUUUGAACAGGUGUUUCAAUACACCUGGUCCAAGCCAUAUUAAGCUAAUCUGCUUUUAUCAGCUGUGCUACUUACCUCCAGUUCUACACUGGGUGGAUUGUUUACACAGUUUCUUAGAUACUUGUCUUCUAUAAAAACGUAUGUUUUGAAGCAUUUUUUCUUUUUUCUAAUCCAAAGGUUGUAUAUAAGCUAGCGGAUGUUACCUGUAUUUUUUUUCUGUUCAGCUACCUAACUUUCCUAGUCCUGCCAAAUAGCGUUAACUUUUAUAUUACCUUCUUGGGGUUUUUUUUUCUUUUUGCAUAAACAUAGGUCUAUGACCUGCUAAAACAUGUUUCAAAAAGGGUUGCUUAGCUUUUGCUGUAUUAAAGAGUAAAAGCAUAGGUUCAGACAUUGUCUCUCUGCCACUAUGUGGCUUGUAAUAGCCCAAACUCUUAAAUGCAGGUGUUUUCAAACGUAUGAAGUAUAAGGAAUCUCUCAAUAUGAAAAAAAUGGGACAAACUGCAAUAUUUUGUACUGGAUGACCUUUGUUUCUGGAAGGUAGUCUACAACUUUUUAAGAAGAAUUGCAAAAUAAGUGUUUUGGGGCCACAGUUAUAAAUAAAAGCUCUUUACUCUAUCAUAUUUGCUUGAAAGAAAGCUAAGCUUAAAUGUACAUGUUUAUUUUGUUGUUAAAGCACAGUACUGGUAAAGCAGUCAGCAAAAUUUUUGAUCUUUAUAGUGUAUGCAACAGUCAGUUAACUUACAAUAUACCUAAAAGUAGCCAACUAUCUUACCAUGCGUCUUGCUCUAUUCUGAAAUGAAACUGCAGUACUCAGCACAUGAUGUGGGUUUCUCUUACUUCAAAACUUAAUAGUCAGCAUGCUGUGAAAUUUGGUGUUAGAAUCUUGACACAAGCUAAUAAUUAAGGGCUUUAACUUCAAAGGAUCUUUUUUUUUUUUUUUUGUAUGGCUUAUAUGCCAGGCAUAGAUUCAACAUGCAGCGAGGAUCAAAUUCUGUAGUAGCACCUCAACUAUUAAAAAAAAAAAAAAAAGCUAGUGAAAAAAUGGGUUGCAAUGACAAAAGCAGAGGUAGCUUAGGACAGGUGUUUUUGCUUAGUUUCCUUUAAACUGACAGCAGUGGAAUCUAAACAUCAAAGUGAAGACUUUGGGGUGCAAUGUGUGUGUGGCUUUUUAAAUUAGUCUAUGACAGAUUCCUUACAUAGGUUUUAGAAAACCUGUUCUGGCCUAGUUAGUUCUUUAAUGUAGGCCUAUUUAAAAUUAAUGAACAAACUUCACUGAUCUGGUAAAAGGUAAUCUAAAUGGCUGCUACUUAUGUGUCUGCCCAUAGAUAAUGCUCACAGUUGUACAUUUGGAUUCCAUGUUUAGCCUUCCAAAUGUUAAGUGUAACAUUCUUUAAUUAUACUUUCUGUGCUCUUGACAUGUUAAAAAAACUCUUCUAUUUAAUUCAGACCCCCUCUUCCUGCCCCAUCCCUGAAAAUAAAAAACUAUGGUGCUUAGCAUAAGAUGUAACAGCUGUGGGUAUGUUUUUGUUAAUGUAAAUCUAAAAAAAAUACAUUCUAGGCAUGGUCACCUCAUACACUGAAAAGGCCAUGUUUAGAUGAUGGUGAAAUAUUUUUUUCUGCAUGUGCUCACAAAAAACUAGGGCUGGAAUAAACCUAAGAAGUUAUUUCAUCCAGUCCAGUAGAGGUGGUAAAUCCUUACAGCUGGACAGGUGUCAGGUUUUUCAUUCCUAAAUUUGGAUUACACUCUCCUUGUCCUGCCUUCUUAGGGCAGUUCGUGUUAACUGGUAACAAGAUAAUGUCAAAAGGACCAGCACUUUUUUUUUUUGUACUAACUGGAUGGGCUUUCAUGCGAAGGCAAUUUAUAUAUUCCAAGACUUCAAAAAAGAAAAAUAUAAAUGUUCAUUUUAUUUCUAAGUUGGGGGGUUCAUUUACUAAUGCAGAAACAUCUUAUGAGGGCAGUAUUCCAUUAACAACUCACCAUGCCCAGAAAAAAAAAUCACUGUAAAAUAUCAGUUUUUACAUUCAAUUGACAUAAGGUUGCAUUGGUCACAAGUUAAAAAGGAGUGAGUAGACCUACGGUCACUAUGAUCCAUUUUGGUUUUACAGAGUACGAAAACAAGGGCAGAAUCCAAAAAUAUCAUAUUAUUACUGUCUAGUAGCUUUGAAAUGUUCUGAGGCUUUAAAUGCAGAAAACAAAGUGAAGCUUCUCUUGGCACUCCUUCCCCUUUUGUAAGCAGGUCUCCAUGAAGAUGGGCAGUUGCUAUGCACUCAGCAGCGGUGGAUGUGUUUUUCAGACUAGAUCCAGCUUUUCCUGAAUUUCACUGGGAAUUUUGCCAUUGAUAUUAAUGGGAGCUGGACCAAACCCUCAGUGCAGGAGUAUUUCUUGAGCUCCAAACUAAUGUUCAGUCUAGCUGGAUUAUUUCCAGGAAUCUGAAUGACUUGCAUGAAAACUCUGACAGACUACAGUAACUAGUAGGAGGUGCUCACCCAAACACUUUAAAUCCCCCACAUAUAUUUCUUGCUGUGUAAUGCAGUGAAAUUUGUAGGUAUCCAUUUAAUGAGAGGCAAGGUUUUUUGGGUGUUUUUUUUGUGAUUACCUUUUAUUGGACCAAAUGUAUAGGUAGCAGAGAGGUUUGACAAGUUUUUGGGCACACGCUGCUGUUCCUCUGAUCUCCCUAAAGAAAACUCUUAUUUCCUUGAGCAACCAUUUAAAUAGCAUAUAAAAAUCUGUUGGUUAUCAUAUUUUCUCAUGUACCACACUGUAGAAUUCCUAACAAUCUGUUGUGGAACCCAGUUUGAAAACCACUGUCUUAAGAUGAGGAGUUGCCUAAUAAGAGUGGUGUCUUUUACAAGUUUCACUAUAGAUGAUGUAGAGUAACCUGGUGCCUUACGACAGCAUUCUAGGAUAUUUCCCAAAAGAGACCAAUACAAGAGAGAAUACUUGAGCAACAGUGACAAGCACUGUAUUGGCAUAUCUGGUAGUAGAAAUUACUUCAGACUGGGUUUAUUUGCAUCUUGCUCAGGUUUAAGCAUAAAUCACCGGUCAGGAUUCAGAACAAUACAUACUUCUACAUUUGGUGGGGGGCAAGGGGCAGGGACAGGGAAGCAUUUCCCACACAGAAGUACAUGUGUUUGAUGAGUUUAGUAAAACAGAUUUAGUAUCUUUCUACCAUGAAAAGAAGAGCUGUUUCUCUCCUGUUCUCUGUAGUUAAAAAUAUAUGACAUUUCCUGGUCAAUAAUUUACAACCCUAUCCAGCUUCUGCUAUACUCAAGGAGAGUUUUAGUGGGAGUUUACAGUAGGCCUAUUGUCAAAACGAUAACAACCAGUA
This is a long non-coding RNA of Gavialis gangeticus (Gharial), 3989 nucleotides long. RefSeq lists it as uncharacterized. The record is from RefSeq and is a predicted model, not a curated record. The transcript has 4 exons. Lineage: Eukaryota; Metazoa; Chordata; Crocodylia; Gavialidae.